This 800-nucleotide ribosomal RNA is filed under the name Lepiota sp. RNAcentral describes it as "partial large subunit ribosomal RNA". It matches the Rfam family "Eukaryotic large subunit ribosomal RNA", at positions 56 to 844 of the family's 3401-position model. The record is from RNAcentral. Lineage: Eukaryota; Fungi; Basidiomycota; Agaricomycetes; Agaricales; Agaricaceae.
ACUUAAUCCUAUGGCAUUCCCCUAGUAACUGCGAGUGAAGCGGGAAAAGCUCAAAUUUGAAAUCUGGCGGUCCUUGGCCGUCCGAGUUGUAAUCUAAAGAAGUGUUGCCCGCGCUGGACCGUGUACAAGUCUCCUGGAAUGGAGCGUCAUAGAGGGUGAGAAUCCCGUCUCUGACACGGACUACCAGUGCUUUGUGGUAUGCUCUCCCUGAGUCGAGUUGUUUGGGAAUGCACCUCAAAAUGGGUGGUAAAUUCCAUCUAAAGCUAAAUAUUGGCGAGAGACCGAUACCGAACAAGUACCGUGAGGGAAAGAUGAAAAGAACUUUGGAAAGAGAGUUAAACAGUACGUGAAAUUGCUGAAAGGGAAACGCUUGAAGUCAGUCGCGUUGGCCAGGAAUCAGCCUUGCAUUGUUGGUUGUACUUUCUGGUUGACGGGUCAGCAUCAAUUUUGACCGCUGUAAAAAUGCUUGGGAGAUGAUGCAGCUUCCGCUGAGUUAUAACCCCUUGUCCAUACAGCGGUUGAGAUUGUGGAACUCAUCACCCCGCCCGGCCGGGUUUCGAUCACCUCCGUGCUUAGGAUGGUGGCUUAAUGGCUUUAAGCAACCCGUCUUGAAACACGCACCAAGGAGACAAACAUGCCUGCCAGUGUUUGGUGUGGAAAACCCAACCGCGCAAUGAAAGAAAAGUUGAGAUCCCUUGUCCUGUGGAGCAUCGACCCCCCGGACCAAAACUUAUUCGGGAUGGAUCCGCUGUAGAUAUGUAUUGUUUGACCCGAAAGAUGUUGAUACUAUGCUCUGAAUA